ACCUUGGUAAGCGACGCGGACUGGAGGGCGACGGCGAGGGGAGGAGGGAGGGGACGUUUUGGAUGGAGGAAGGGGAUUUGAAGGGGAUAAGGAAAACAGGUGUUCAAGAGUGGAUAUCGUGAGGUUUUGAUUUAUAAUUGAUUCCAAUUCCUCAGAGGUGAGAUGGAACGGAGAGGAGAUUUGAGGCGGAGCAUCGACUCUGAUCGGGUCGCUUCUGCUUUUGUUCUUGAUUGAGAUAUGGUGAUGGGUUAAAGUUC
This 257-nucleotide long non-coding RNA is filed under the name Zostera marina. Its description in RNAcentral is "long non-coding RNA (ZMAR_LNC005880)". The record is from RNAcentral. Lineage: Eukaryota; Viridiplantae; Streptophyta; Magnoliopsida; Alismatales; Zosteraceae.